RNAcentral lists this ribosomal RNA (497 nucleotides) under uncultured bacterium. Its description in RNAcentral is "partial 16S ribosomal RNA". It matches the Rfam family "Bacterial small subunit ribosomal RNA", at positions 28 to 507 of the family's 1533-position model. The record is from RNAcentral.
GAUGAACGCUGGCGGCGUGCCUAAUACAUGCAAGUCGAGCGAACAGAUGAGGAGCUUGCUCCUCUGACGUUAGCGGCGGACGGGUGAGUAACACGUGGAUAACCUACCUAUAAGACUGGGAUAACUUCGGGAAACCGGAGCUAAUACCGGAUAAUAUAUUGAACCGCAUGGUUCAAUAGUGAAAGACGGUUUUGCUGUCACUUAUAGAUGGAUCCGCGCCGCAUUAGCUAGUUGGUAAGGUAACGGCUUACCAAGGCGACGAUGCGUUGCCGACCUGAGAGGGUGAUCGGCCACACUGGAACUGAGACACGGUCCAGACUCCUACGGGAGGCAGCAGUAGGGAAUCUUCCGCAAUGGGCGAAAGCCUGACGGAGCAACGCCGCGUGAGUGAUGAAGGUCUUCGGAUCGUAAAACUCUGUUAUUAGGGAAGAACAAAUGUGUAAGUAACUAUGCACGUCUUGACGGUACCUAAUCAGAAAGCCACGGCUAACUACGUG